UCCCAUGUGGCAUGAACUGUAGUUACUGUACCCAAGUCCGACCUGCUUCCAUGGCAAAUGGCAAAGCCUCUUCGCGGGCAGCCACUUGGUCGAGACAAAUUUCGGUCCUCUCUUGAACGGAGAUUUCGUUGUAGCCUUUCGGGCCUUUUCUCACUCGUGGUGGAGUACGAGCAGCAAAAUCUCUCUCUCUCGCCAAUUCGGAAGAUUGGUUCGCGGCUGGUUUGGCAUAGGCGGUGAUUUCGGUCUUAUUUAUGGUUGCGUACUACUCCUUGAAAUGAAAGUACUGUUGAGCUCAGUUAUGAGCUGUUGAGCAUUUGUUUUCAUUGAUCGGCUUGCAACUAUGCGCAGCUGCUUUGCAGGAGUAUGAAUAAUUUCAUCAGCGAUUUUCUUGCUGAUGGAUGAUAAUUACCUUCUUGGGCCUCCUUGUCUAGUAAUGUGAACCUUAUUUUGCCCUCUAUACGUGACACUUGAGAAGUGCUUGGCCCUGCUGAAUCUAUUAUAGACAUUCUCUAUACCUUCUUAGUCCUUAAAGCAGCCAGUAUUUCACCAGUGACGACAACAAGGUGCUAGAAGCGUGACUCUGAGGAUAUUCCUUCUCCUAUCCGUUCAAGCAAGUGCAUCUGUACAAGGGAGAAGAUAGAAAAUCGAGGACAUGGAUGCCAGUUAAGAAACAAAGAGAGCAGUGGUGUUGCUGCUACCCUCUGCUGAUUAAUGGCUGGUAGGUGUAGGUGUUGCAAGCCAUUUCACGCUGUAAUGGAUCAUAAAUUCUCAGAAGCUGGUAGAUUUCAUUUCCAGAAAUAGGGCGUGCAUUGAAAGCCUUCCUUCUGAGCGUUUGUGAGCAAGUGAACUUGUACCAACAGCUCAAGAAACAAAGAAAGAUGAAUGGAUGGGUGAAACACGUGGAAAGAAGCUUGAAACUUGACAAAUUGGCAAAGGUGCAUUUCUGAAGUGGGCGAUUAGAACUAACAACAAGAGCAGAGGAAGGGAACUCUUUAGUGGGCGCUUAAUAACCCCCGAUCUGAUCGUGUUUGAGAUCCUUGUGAUCUGAAAUCCUUGAUUUGAAGUCGGACAUCCCAGCCAUGCCUCUCUUUCUCAAAAAAUCUGAUCUUAGAAGCAUUGUAUUCGUUCGUCACCACAUCUGACAAGUUUGAAGGAACUCAAGUCCACAGACCACUUCCUGACUGCUCUAAAAAAUCCGAUCUUAAAAUCAGACCCUAUCAACGUGAAAAGUGUGAAAUAUGAGUUAUGAACAAACGUCAUGUCCUGAGUUUCUGUAGAAUUCUUGGUCUCUUGUAUGACAUUCAUGCCACGUUAACUAGAGGUCUCAGUUUCACUCUUACGAAGUGAGCAUUUCCAAAUCAAUAAACGUGUGCCAAAGUUGUUAAAAUCUGU
Molecule: long non-coding RNA, 1392 nt
Organism: Nymphaea colorata (pocket water lily)
Lineage: Eukaryota; Viridiplantae; Streptophyta; Magnoliopsida; Nymphaeales; Nymphaeaceae
Exons: 3
Source: RefSeq, a predicted model, not a curated record